Non-coding RNA from Pelobates cultripes (western spadefoot toad), 247 nucleotides. NCBI's taxonomy places the organism in Eukaryota, Metazoa, Chordata, Amphibia, Anura, Pelobatidae. The record is from the annotation of a GenBank genome assembly.
CGGGAGUGAGAGCUUUGUGUAACUUCCAGCUUAUGAUCUCGGAGAAAGGAUAUGAUGAUAUGUUUGUUCGCAGACAUGUUAUAUUUCAUUGAUAUGGUCAACUGAUUGCUUUGUUUUACUUGUCAUGGUGAAAUUGUUAUUUUAGAUGGUUAUGGAUCUUGGAUAUUACCAUUUUUUACCUUUUAUCUAGCUUGAAUGCAGCACCUUUGUUUCUUUUAUUGGUCGAUUAGGUUUUCUUGGAUUGGAU